UGCUCUCGCCGCCCUUAAACUCUCUGGGUAUAGAGCUACGCUGAAAACAGGAAAACGUGACGGCGUGUUUUGCUCGCGAAAGUUCUCAGUCUUCGGUUUUACUCCCCGCCUCCGGCCCAGGCUAACUUUCCCCACCUGUCGGGGAGGGUCAAGGUGACUCCCAGUCUUACAUGUGGAGACCCACAAACUUCCGGGGCUGGGAGACGGCUGAGGUGCAGCACUGGCCGAGCGAAGGCAGGACCCGCUCUGUUCCAGGUCCCUAGCUGCUCAGUUGCUGGACUCGCCCUCCUGCACCCCCAAUAAUGAAUCGACGCUCUUCUGUUUAAUGUGAAGCGGAAUAAGCUGCUUCUCCUGGGGACAUGAACUCGAGUAGGAGAAUUAAGCCAAAAGAUAAGUUGAACUAUCACAUGACUGAAGACUUUCGAGCUCCAAAGCUGGCUACUUUUAGAAACAUUCAAUUGGAAGUGGCAAGAGGCUAAGGGUGAGGCAACCAGUUCUGAGACUUUCACUGUCACCCGCCCCACAUAAUGUUAUUACAAGAUAUUGAAUAUAGUUCCCUGGGCUAUGUAGUAGAUCCUUGUUGUUUUCAAUAUGUGGUGGAACCAGGGCCCCCACCCAGGUGGAGGAUGGCAACUUCAGGCUGAGGACAGGAUUCCUGAAACACAGUUCUGUUACCACACUGCAGCUCUCACCCCAAAUUUUGCCUAUAAAAAGUUUUUCCCCAAAAACUAUUGGGGCAUCCGGGGGUUUUGAGCUUGAGCGACCAAUUCUCUUUGUUUGGCCCUGCAAAAAACUGUCUCUGCUCCAAACUCCGAUGUUUCGGGUUGUUUGGCUUCGCCGUGCACUGAGUACAUGAACAUUUCGGUAACUCUUCUGCAGUAUCUGAUAUCAGGACUCACGUUGAUGAUGCAACGCCAUUCCACAGAGGCAGUGAACAAAGGACGUUGGCUGGACCUCUGGGUGUGACAUUUCCCCAGACCCCUCCGCUCAGUGUGUCCUUAAGGACACUCAUCACCUGCCUCCCAGACCUGUUCCUCCUCCUCCAUUCUGUAGCCCAGAUUGUUGUGUGGCUUCCGACGAGAGGACUACAUAUAAGGCACGCGGAACAGUGCCUGGCACGAGGCGGCACUAGGUAAAGCACACGGCGUGCUGCGCCGCCUGGGACGUGGUAAGCUCUGGGUCGGUAAAGCAGCAGUCAUCAGAACUGUCGUUAUUGCCAUUUGAAUGGAAAAUUCUGGAUUGUGUUAGGUGAGUUGUUACUUCUUUCCUUGUUGCUGAGGAGUGAGGAACACAGAGCUGACCUGUUGAGGGAAUUUUCUGGGCACCUUUUGUGUCAGGAGACAAAACAAUGGUGAGAAGAGAGGCUGGAAGGCUUAACUACAGAAGGAGGAUUACCAUCUUUGUUGGCCCGGAGUGAAUUCUCUCCCCGGGAAGCCAGAAAGGGGUGGUAAGGCACGUGGUUAAACCCGACGAGACUGACUCGGUGGCCCCCUGGCCUUGUGGGGGUUGGCAGCGCGGCAGCGUUUAGUGCUCCCCGGCCGGCAGAGGGGGAGGGAGACCAGCUCCCCGAGCUUCCCUGCCCCCAGGAUGCACACCGUCUGUGUUGUGUGUGUGUGAGAGAGAGGGGUGUGUGCAUGUGGGCUGUGUGGGUCUGUGUGUCUGUGUAUCUGUGUGUGUGGGGUAUGUGUGUCUGAGUGUACUCAUGUGUGGUGAGUGUGUGAGAGAGAUGUGUGCGUGUGGGGUGUGUGGAUCUGAGUGCCUCGUAUCUGUGUGGGGUGUGUGUGUGUAAUACAUGUCUGCGUGUGUGCUGUAUGUGUGAGAGAGAGGUGUGUAGGCAGUGUGUGUGUGUGUGUGUGUGUGCUGGGAGUGCAAGGGCAGGAAACUCAUUCCUGCACGACUCUUGAUGAGGCAAGCAUUUUAAAUUAUUCUUGGAUUGAGUGUUUUCUGUUAGUCGGACCAUUUCUUUUACAGGUGCUGGUAGGAAGCAUUAUUACUCUCCUGGGGACUUAAUUUUCUUCUUAAAAAGUUAAGUAAUCAUAUGUGUUUGAAGUAGGUCAACAAAGAGGAGCUGUCUGGUUCUGCUGUCUAAGUGAUGCUGCCUGUAUUGUCGUCUGCAUGACUUUUUAAUUAAAGCGCCUUCUGCGUUCACGAGUAGGAGCUGCACCCCCGUGCCUGAAACCACAGACCCGUUUGCACCGCACACGGCCCAAGAGCGGUGCGUCACAAAACAGCAGACAGGAAGAUCCUGCGUGCUCAUGUGACUUCAGGCUUUGGCUCCAGGGUUUCUACAAAGGCUAGCAGGACAGAGCGGCCACUAUUAUCUCAGAAACCAUGAUAUUGCUUAUGAUCUCAAAAACCGAAAUAGAGUGAUGCUGCGGGUGAGUCAGGAGACAGACGGACAUUCUGAUUCCAGCUGCACCACUUACUGUGUGUCUUGGGCAAGUUUCUGAACUUCUCUGAGCCUCAGUUUUUUGUCUCCAAAUUGGAGCAAACACUACAGCCCUACAAUAUCUUAUCUACAAUCCCCAAAUCCCAAAGCGAUGAAAAAAAAAGGACCUUGUUUUUUCAUUUGGCAGUGAAAUCUAAAUAAUCUGAAUUAAUUUGCUGUAAAAUCCUUCCUUGAACGGACACAAAGCUUUUUGCAGUCUGUGCAUAUUUUAUUUAAUGUGAACAUAGAUGUUUUGCUACAGAAUUGUAAAUAUAUUUGUUAUGGGGGUAUAGCUCCAGACCAAUGGGUACAGAAUAGAACAGAAUGCUUACAACAUACUAUUGCUCUAAAAUCCAGAAAUACCUGAAUUCCAAAACACAUUGGCCCAAGGAUUUUUGAUAAAGGACUGUGGAUCUUUACCUUCCUCAUAGGAGUGUGAGGACUGCGGAGCUAGCGUGUCAGCGCCCCUGGGUCAGCCCCUGCUGGGUCAUGUCCCACCCACAUUUGCCCCCAUGAGCCUUUCCCAGGUGCAAACCCCCAACCCCAGGCGGCACUGGAGAUCCUCACUCAGCAGCUGGUGAAGCUACCACACUUGGGCUGCGGGCCUCCUUGCUCACUGGUCUAUAAACAACUCCAGGGCUGGGAUUGCAUGCCACUGGUUAGCAGCUCAAAGUCCAUGUUCAACAAAUAUUUAAAAAGGGAAUUCAGAGCUCAUUUAGUAGGCGUCUCCUGGGCCUCAGGGUCUCCUGAUUGCCUGCCAGGUAGAGGGAGUUGACUUCAGGGGCGAAAGAGAAGAGAGGCAUGGGGUCUUGGGAAGGCCAGUGGGGGAGGCCCGGCCUGGGGAGGCCCUGGGAGGGACCCCCUGCAUCUAGCUUUUCCCGCCCAGCCCUGGUGUGGCUGUUACCAGAGGAUAAUUGUUAACUCUCACUUUUACUCUUUUAUCCUCAAAUGUGUCCUCUUUUGGGUAGUAUACCACGUGGUCCCUCCAUGCAAUGAGCAAGAGCAGGAAGUCUUACGGUGCAAGGCUUUUUUUUUUUUUUUUUUGCCUUUCUUUUCACUGAAAAGCGGGGGUGCCAAAAAUGGGAAGGACUCAGGGGUAGAGGAGACUCAGAGGAGAGGGUUGCUAGCAAUAGUCUUGGCCCCUAACAAUGAUUAAGAGCUCUGCCUCCAUAACGUAUCAACUAAAGGACACGGGGGAGUGGGCUGGCUGGGUGCUCCACCAACGUCCCCCUCCAAAACAUAUGUUCACCUUCGUACCCCAGAAACCUGUGAAUGUGACCUUAUUUGGAAAAAAUGUUUUUGUAGAUGUAAUUAAGUUCACUGUCUUGAUGUGAGACCACCCUGGAUUAUCUAGGUGGCUCUACAUUAGAUGACAAAUGUCCUUAUAAGAGAAACACGGGGAGAGACACACAGGGAGAAGCCAUGUGGAGAUGGAGGCAGAGGCUGGGGUGAUGCAGCCACAGGCCAAGGACAGACUGGAGUCCCCAGAAACUGGAAGAAUUCCCAGGAUUCUUCCCUGGGGCUUUUGGAAGGAGCCACCUCGAUUUCGGACUUCUGGCCUCCGUAACUGUGAGAGAAUAGAUUCUUAAGGUUUUAAGCCACCAGGUUUGUGGGAAUUUGUCACAGAGGCCCUAGGAGACUAGGACACCUAACCAUCGUGAACCUCAGUUGUCUCAUCUGAAAAUGAGGACAAGACUGGACCUGUAGCAGAGAAUAACUUUGUUUUGUUGGAGGUUUACAGAGAUACCAUGACCUGGCCCACGGGGAUGGCUGCAAGAACAAAGAAUGCCUGCAGCAAGAUUACAACAAUCAACCACACCCCCUCCCUUAUUUUUCCUCCCCCUCCCUUAUUUUUUGUAUAAAAGGAGCCUGCGUUCUGACUAGAGCAGGAUGGUUUUCCUAGACAUUGGUCUGCCAUCCUCUCGGUCAGCCAGCUUUCCGAAUAAAGUCACUAUU
This is a long non-coding RNA of Camelus dromedarius (Arabian camel), 4384 nucleotides long. RefSeq lists it as uncharacterized. The record is from RefSeq and is a predicted model, not a curated record. Lineage: Eukaryota; Metazoa; Chordata; Mammalia; Artiodactyla; Camelidae. The transcript is spliced from 8 exons.